This 134-nucleotide ribosomal RNA is filed under the name Platygramme sp. CBS 130778. Its description in RNAcentral is "partial 18S ribosomal RNA". It matches the Rfam family "Eukaryotic small subunit ribosomal RNA", at positions 1763 to 1831 of the family's 1831-position model. The record is from RNAcentral. Lineage: Eukaryota; Fungi; Ascomycota; Lecanoromycetes; Ostropales; Graphidaceae.
UCUUGGUCAUUUAGAGGAAGUAAAAGUCGUAACAAGGUUUCCGUAGGUGAGUAGAUCAAGUCCCCGGCCCCCUCUCCUUCCGUACAAUUUCACGUACUAACAACUUUUCAGGUGAACCUGCGGAAGGAUCAUUA